Molecule: ribosomal RNA, 762 nt
Filed under: uncultured bacterium
Lineage: Bacteria
Description: bacterial SSU rRNA
Rfam family: Bacterial small subunit ribosomal RNA
Source: RNAcentral
GCAGUCGUACGAGAACGCUUCAGCUUGCUGAAGCUAGUAAAGUGGCGUACGGGUGAGUAACGCGUGGGUAAUCUACCUUCGAAUUGGGGAUAACGUUGCGAAAGUGACGCUAAUACCGGAUAAUAUCAUAGAGACCUUGGUUUUUAUGAUCAAAGAUGGCCUCUCCUUGGAAGCUAUUGUUUGGAGAUGAGCCCGCGUCCCAUUAGCUUGUUGGUGGGGUAAUGGCCUACCAAGGCAACGAUGGGUAGCUGGUCUGAGAGGAUGAUCAGCCACACUGGAACUGACACACGGUCCAGACUCCUACGGGAGGCAGCAGUGAGGAAUUUUGCGCAAUGGGGGAAACCCUGACGCAGCAACGCCGCGUGAGUGAUGAAGGCUUUCGGGUCGUAAAGCUCUGUCAAGUGGGAAGAACUCCCGUGAGGUUAAUACCCUCAUGGUUUGACGGUACCACUGAAGGAAGCACCGGCUAACUCCGUGCCAGCAGCCGCGGUAAUACGGGGGGUGCAAGCGUUAUUCGGAUUUACUGGGCGUAAAGCGCGCGUAGGCGGCCGUUUAAGUCAGAUGUGAAAGCCCGGGGCUCAACCCCGGAAGUGCAUUUGAUACUAUUCGGCUUGAGUAUGGGAGAGGGAAGUGGAAUUCCUGGUGUAGAGGUGAAAUUCGUAGAUAUCAGGAGGAACACCGGUGGCGAAGGCGACUUCCUGGACCAAUACUGACGCUGAGGCGCGAAGGCGUGGGUAGCAAACAGGAUUAGAUACCCUGGUA